This 277-nucleotide ribosomal RNA is filed under the name uncultured prokaryote. RNAcentral's name for it is "partial 16S ribosomal RNA". It matches the Rfam family "Bacterial small subunit ribosomal RNA", at positions 524 to 800 of the family's 1533-position model. The record is from RNAcentral.
UACGUAGGUGGCAAGCGUUGUCCGGAAUUACUGGGUGUAAAGGGAGCGCAGGCGGGGAAGCAAGUCGGCUGUGAAAUGCAUAGGCUUAACCUAUGAAUUGCAGUUGAAACUGUUUUUCUUGAGUGGAGUAGAGGUAGGCGGAAUUCCGAGUGUAGCGGUGAAAUGUGUAGAUAUUCGGAGGAACACCAGUGGCGAAGGCGGCCUACUGGGCUCUAACUGACGCUGAGGCUCGAAAGCGUGGGGAGCGAACGGGAUUAGAUACCCCGGUAGUCCCUGA